Small nucleolar RNA from Tachyglossus aculeatus (Australian echidna), 138 nucleotides. The record is from RefSeq and is a predicted model, not a curated record. Lineage: Eukaryota; Metazoa; Chordata; Mammalia; Monotremata; Tachyglossidae.
CCCCUCUUAGGGUCGGUCCUGGAGAGUUUCCACUACUCUACCAGUCUUGACUAUGGGAGGGGGAGUCAAGCAGAGGUGUGUCCAUUUCACUCCUAGCUUGGGCAGUGGCUAGUGAGUGAAAGUCAAUCUGCUACAAAC